GAAGACAGCCAUGCCACCCUGAACAAACCUGACCCCAUCUGAUCUCCGAAGCUAAGCAGGAUCUGGCCUAGUUAGUACUUGCAUGGGAGACCACCUAGGAAGACCAGGUGCUGUAGGCA
Molecule: ribosomal RNA, 119 nt
Filed under: Pteropus alecto (black flying fox)
Lineage: Eukaryota; Metazoa; Chordata; Mammalia; Chiroptera; Pteropodidae
Source: RNAcentral